Molecule: long non-coding RNA, 161 nt
Organism: Thalassophryne amazonica
Lineage: Eukaryota; Metazoa; Chordata; Actinopteri; Batrachoidiformes; Batrachoididae
Exons: 3
Source: RefSeq, a predicted model, not a curated record
CUGCUGCCAUACAAGGCGCUCACUACACACCGGCAGCAACUAGGGGAUUAAGGACCUUGCCCAAGGGCCCUCAGUGAUUUUCCAGUCAGGCUGGGAUUUGAACCGAGGAUCCUCUGGUCUUAAGUCUAACGCUUAACCACUAAUACCACAUUAAAGUUCAC